UUGAGUGGUGAUGAUCUCUACAGACCUGUAAUGAUUUGCGAGGAUGAUUGCAACUCUUUAUGAACAUCUAAGGGACUGAGUUCCU
Ipomoea triloba (trilobed morning glory) is the source of this 85-nucleotide small nucleolar RNA. RefSeq annotates it as small nucleolar RNA SNORD25. The record is from RefSeq and is a predicted model, not a curated record. The transcript has a single exon. NCBI's taxonomy places the organism in Eukaryota, Viridiplantae, Streptophyta, Magnoliopsida, Solanales, Convolvulaceae.